UACGAAGGGUGCGAGCGUUAUUCGGAAUCACUGGGCGUAAAGGGUGCGUAGACGGUAUGUUAAGUUUGUUGUUAAAGGCUCCGGCCUAACUGGAGUAUUGCGAUGAAAACUGGCAAACUAGAGGGUGAGAGAGAGAAGUGGAAUUCCCGGAGUAGCGGUAAAAUGCGUGGAUCUCGGGAGGAACACCAAUGGCGAAGGCAGCUUCUUGGCUCAUACCUGACGUUGAGGCGCGAAAGCGUGGGGAGCAAACAGG
This 253-nucleotide ribosomal RNA is filed under the name uncultured bacterium. Its description in RNAcentral is "partial 16S ribosomal RNA". It matches the Rfam family "Bacterial small subunit ribosomal RNA", at positions 524 to 776 of the family's 1533-position model. The record is from RNAcentral.